RNAcentral lists this non-coding RNA (31 nucleotides) under Rattus norvegicus (Norway rat). Lineage: Eukaryota; Metazoa; Chordata; Mammalia; Rodentia; Muridae. The record is from RNAcentral.
UUUUUUGCUUCAUUAUGGAGUCCUGAGAUGA